AACGAACGCUGGCGGCAUGCCUAAUACAUGCAAGUCGAACGAGAUCUUCGGAUCUAGUGGCGCACGGGUGCGUAACGCGUGGGAAUCUGCCCUUGGGUUCGGAAUAACUUCUGGAAACGGAAGCUAAUACCGGAUGAUGACGUAAGUCCAAAGAUUUAUCGCCCAAGGAUGAGCCCGCGUAGGAUUAGGUAGUUGGUGAGGUAAAGGCUCACCAAGCCGACGAUCCUUAGCUGGUCUGAGAGGAUGAUCAGCCACACUGGGACUGAGACACGGCCCAGACUCCUACGGGAGGCAGCAGUAGGGAAUAUUGGACAAUGGGCGAAAGCCUGAUCCAGCAAUGCCGCGUGAGUGAUGAAGGCCUUAGGGUUGUAAAGCUCUUUUACCCGGGAUGAUAAUGACAGGACCGGGAGAAUAAGCUCCGGCUAACUCCGU
This 432-nucleotide ribosomal RNA is filed under the name uncultured bacterium. Its description in RNAcentral is "partial 16S ribosomal RNA". It matches the Rfam family "Bacterial small subunit ribosomal RNA", at positions 29 to 506 of the family's 1533-position model. The record is from RNAcentral.